This 402-nucleotide ribosomal RNA is filed under the name Triticum aestivum (bread wheat). Its description in RNAcentral is "partial small subunit ribosomal RNA". The record is from RNAcentral. Lineage: Eukaryota; Viridiplantae; Streptophyta; Magnoliopsida; Poales; Poaceae.
AUGCUGAAGAAACACUGGAAGGUCACAGCUCAUAAUGGCUGCGAUGGGUGCCUCGCAUCAGAAACCAUAUAUCAUCUUAUUCUGCGAUGCUGGUUAGCAGAUGUAGUUUGGCAAAGGAUCGGCAUGCAAAGUAUCACCAAUGCUUGCCUGGACCUACAAACCUUCAUCUUAUCAGCGGAGGCCAUCGCUACGCAUGGCAAGCUUUGGCACGUUCUCUUUGCAGCGAUUGCAGUUGCUCUCUGGACAGCCCGGAACGCUCUAGUCUUCAGAACAGAGGCAUGGACUGCAUCUCGGGUUUUCAAGGAGAUUCAUCAACUUAUACAUCUAUGGAAGCAUAGAGCCCGACGCGAUCAAGAUUUAGCAACUUUGUGUAACUUUGCUGCUCUUUUCCUCCAAGCCUAA